RNAcentral lists this transfer RNA (66 nucleotides) under Mancinella alouina. RNAcentral describes it as "tRNA-Glu". The record is from RNAcentral. Lineage: Eukaryota; Metazoa; Mollusca; Gastropoda; Neogastropoda; Muricidae.
GUUUCUAUGGUGUAACUUGCACGUUAGAUUUUCAUUCUAAAGGAAUAAGUUGACUUAUUAGAAAUA